GGGGGCGAAUUGGAUUCGACCGGACGGAUGAGGUGUCGGUGGCGUGCCCAGGUUCCAAGGAGGCCUGGCUAAACACCUUGGGCUAACUGUUACAUGCCAAUCAACCGAUGGCAAUGGCCGCUUAAUUAAGCGACCCGUCCCCGGGACCUGGCCCACGAGGACCCGACGGACGCAACUAGUGGGCUUACCGGCCGGGAGUCGCCCGGUUACCCGGUCGGGACAUUCAGGCGGGCUGGCUGCGUCAAACCGCGUCGGACUCGGGUUGCCGUGGCGACAUCAAUAAGCCGACUACGCACGUAGAAGCCGCCAUUGAAACGUCACGGGACGCGGGUUCGAUUCCCGCCGCCUCCA
Molecule: transfer-messenger RNA, 351 nt
Filed under: Planctomycetes bacterium ADurb.Bin126
Lineage: Bacteria; Pseudomonadati; Planctomycetota
Description: transfer-messenger RNA, SsrA
Rfam family: transfer-messenger RNA
About the family: Bacterial tmRNA, also known as 10Sa RNA or SsrA, is named for its dual tRNA and mRNA-like properties.
Source: RNAcentral